This 253-nucleotide ribosomal RNA is filed under the name uncultured bacterium. RNAcentral describes it as "partial 16S ribosomal RNA". It matches the Rfam family "Bacterial small subunit ribosomal RNA", at positions 524 to 776 of the family's 1533-position model. The record is from RNAcentral.
UACGUAGGCAGCGAGCGUUGUUCGGAAUUACUGGGCGUAAAGAGUGUGUAGGCGGUGCUCUAAGUUCGGUGUGAAAUCUCCUGGCUCAACUGGGAGGGUGCGCCGGAAACUGGAGUGCUUGAGCGUGGGAGAGGAAAGCGGAAUUCCUGGUGUAGCGGUGAAAUGCGUAGAUAUCAGGAGGAACACCGGUGGCGAAGGCGGCAUCCUGGACCGGCAUUGACGCUGAUGAGCGAAAGCUAAGGGAGCAAACGGG